AAACAUAACCUUUAGCCAAACAAAUAUUAAAGGCAACGCCUGCCCAGUGAAUUAUUAAACGGCCGCGGUACCCUAACCGUGCAAAGGUAGCAUAAUCAUUUGUCUACUAACUAUAGACCUGUAUGAAAGGCAAAAUGAGGAUCCCACUGUCUCUUAUAAUAAAUCAAUUAAACUGAUCUUCUAGUAAAAAAGCUAGAAUUACUACAUAAGACCAGAAGACCCUGUGAAGCUUAAACUAAACUAUUAAACCUAAUAAUAGCUACUUUCGGUUGGGGCGACCUUGGAAAAAAAAAGAACUUCCAAAUAUGUGACUUAUCACACCCACAGGCCUACAAGCCACUAAACGACCCAGCAAAGCUGACAAACGAACCAAGUUACUCCAGGGAUAACAGCGCAAUCUUCUUCAAGAGUCCAUAUCAAAAAGAAGGUUUACGACCUCGAUGUUGGAUCAGGACAUCCUAAUGGUGCAGCCGCUAUCAAGGGUUCGUUUGUUCAACGAUUAAUAGUCCUACGUGAUCU
Molecule: ribosomal RNA, 519 nt
Filed under: Phyllorhynchus decurtatus
Lineage: Eukaryota; Metazoa; Chordata; Lepidosauria; Squamata; Colubridae
Description: partial 16S ribosomal RNA
Rfam family: Bacterial large subunit ribosomal RNA
Source: RNAcentral